CGAAAAUCCGGUUCUUAUACGAUCACCGAAGUUAAACAACGUCGAGCCUCUUAAGUACCUAGAUGGGUAACUGCUUGGGAAUACCAGACGCUGUAAG
Acanthosepion pharaonis is the source of this 97-nucleotide non-coding RNA. NCBI's taxonomy places the organism in Eukaryota, Metazoa, Mollusca, Cephalopoda, Sepiida, Sepiidae. The record is from the annotation of a GenBank genome assembly.